RNAcentral lists this ribosomal RNA (253 nucleotides) under uncultured bacterium. Its description in RNAcentral is "partial 16S ribosomal RNA". It matches the Rfam family "Bacterial small subunit ribosomal RNA", at positions 524 to 776 of the family's 1533-position model. The record is from RNAcentral.
GACAUAGGUGGCGAACGUUAUCCGGAAUUAUUGGGCGUAAAGGGUGCGUAGGUGGUUGAAUAAGUUAUUGGUGGGAAACCGGGGCUCAACCCCGUGGAAGCCAGUAAUACUAUUCAACUAGAGGACCGGAGGGGUUAACGGAAUUCCUGGUGUAGCGGUGAAAUGCGCAGAUAUCAGGAGGAACACCGAUGGCGAAGGCAGGUCUCUGGGCCACUACUGACGCUGAGAAGCGAAAGCAUGGGGAGCAAACAGG